AAUCUUCCACAAUGGACGAAAGUCUGAUGGAGCAAUGCCGCGUGAGCGAAGAAGGUUUUCGGAUCGUAAAGCUCUGUUGUGAGGGAAGAACAAGUAUCGGAGUAACUGCCGGUACCUUGACGGUACCUCAUUAGAAAGCCACGGCUAACUACGUGCCAGCAGCCGCGGUAAUACGUAGGUGGCAAGCGUUGUCCGGAAUUAUUGGGCGUAAAGCGCGCGCAGGCGGCCUUUUAAGUCUGAUGUGAAAGCCCACGGCUCAACCGUGGAAGGUCAUUGGAAACUGAAAGGCUUGAGUACAGAAGAGGAAAGCGGAAUUCCACGUGUAGCGGUGAAAUGCGUAGAGAUGUGGAGGAACACCAGUGGCGAAGGCGGCUUUCUGGUCUGUAACUGACGCUGAGGCGCGAAAGCGUGGGGAGCAAACAG
RNAcentral lists this ribosomal RNA (423 nucleotides) under uncultured bacterium. Its description in RNAcentral is "partial 16S ribosomal RNA". It matches the Rfam family "Bacterial small subunit ribosomal RNA", at positions 360 to 775 of the family's 1533-position model. The record is from RNAcentral.